AGCGAACGCUGGCGGCAGGCUUAACACAUGCAAGUCGAGCGGGCCCUUCGGGGUCAGCGGCAGACGGGUGAGUAACGCGUGGGAACGUGCCCUUCGGUUCGGAAUAACUCAGGGAAACUUGAGCUAAUACCGGAUACGCCCUUAUGGGGAAAGGCUUGCUGCCGAAGGAUCGGCCCGCGUCUGAUUAGCUAGUUGGUGCGGUUAUGGCUCACCAAGGCGACGAUCAGUAGCUGGUCUGAGAGGAUGAUCAGCCACACUGGGACUGAGACACGGCCCAGACUCCUACGGGAGGCAGCAGUGGGGAAUCUUGGACAAUGGGGGCAACCCUGAUCCAGCCAUGCCGCGUGAGUGAUGACGGCCUUAGGGUUGUAAAGCUCUUUUCUCCGGGACGAUAAUGACGGUACCGGAGGAAUAAGCCCCGGCUAACUUCGUG
This 433-nucleotide ribosomal RNA is filed under the name uncultured bacterium. RNAcentral's name for it is "partial 16S ribosomal RNA". It matches the Rfam family "Bacterial small subunit ribosomal RNA", at positions 29 to 507 of the family's 1533-position model. The record is from RNAcentral.